ACUGGAAACUCCGCCUCCCGGGUUCACGCCAUUUUCCUGCCUCAGCCUCCUGAGUAGCUGGGACUACAGGCGCCCGCCACCACGCCCGGCUAAUUUUUUGUAUUUUUAGUAGAGACAGGGUUUUACCGUGUUCGCCAAGAUGGUCUCGAUCUCCUGACCUCUUCGUCCGCCCGCCUUGGCCUCCCAAAGCGCUGGGAUUAGAGGCGUGAGCCACCGCGCCCGGCCGGUCCACUAAUUCUUUUAAACUCUGUAAGGCAUUUUUUUUUUUCCUGUUUAAAUAUAUAUCGACAUUAGAUAGCUUUGGCUGUGGCAAAGAGGACCUGCUAUUGUAGGUCUGUGGGCUGGCAGUGACUGGGCUGGGCUCAUCUGAGAUUGGCGGGGCUCGGCUCUGUGCCUUGUACUGUCUCAUUCCGGAACAUGGACGGAAGGCGGGGUCGCUGUUGGGCAUGCUGUUCUCAGGAGGGCAAGCAAAGCUCUGGGGCACUGCUUCUGAAAGCCUCUGCUCACAAUCGGCAGCUGACACCUGCAGACAAUCUCCACUGUUGCAAAUUAUUCUCUGAAGGACAUACUUAAAACUAAAAGAUGUUGGAUCUCCAAUAUGAAUUCGUAACUUCAGAAUGUGACCUUAUUUGGAAAUAGGAUCAUUGCAGAGGUAUUUCGUGAAGAUCAGUUCAUACUGGAGUGAGGUGGACCUGUAAUCCAGUUGAAUUUGUAUCCUUAUAAAAAGGGGAUGUCUGGACACAGACAGAUACACAGGAAGAACAUCACAUAAACAAGAAGACAGAGAUUGGGGUAAUGUUUCUACAAGUCAAGGAUUAACAAAGAUUGCCUGCAAACCACAGAAACCAGGAAAGAGGCCUCAAAGAGAUUCUCACUCACACCCUCAGGAGGAACCAACCCUGCUGACCUUAAUCUCGGACUUCUGGUCUCCCGAAUUGUGAGAAAAUAAAUUUCUGUUGUUUCAGCAAUUCAGUGUAUGGUACUUUGUUACAGGAGCCCUAACACAGCAUGAACGACUGAAUCUGUAGAAAUUUAAUUCUGUUUUCGGAUCUAAACACUGGAAAAUUGAACAAAGGUAGAAGAUUCAGAGGCCACAAAGGCAGUGGAACACUUUGAGUAAAGGAGCGUGGGCAUCAAAAUUGAAUAUUCCUUCUAUUUUCUGGAAAAACAAAACAAAACAGGAACUGUAGGUCACACUUGUGUCCGUAUGUUGGUAGUUUUAAGAAAAAGGGCUUGGGUAAAGAGUUUCUCUGAGAUUUCUGACUUUUCCAUUGAUUAUAACCAUUUCCCAUAGCUACUUAUAAGUCAUGGGCUCAUAUGCCUGACAAAAUGUAUUAAAAUAUUCAAAGUAAAAAUAAUCUAGAUCUAGAGUCAGCCACACUUGGGAUUUCGAUUUGCUUGGGAAUUUUGUAUCUGCUGAAACCUGCCUGCCUUGACCUGUUUUUUCCUUCCCAUGCUAAAUUCCUACAUUCUCUAUCUUUCAUUUCACCCACUUAGGCAGAACUGAAAUUGCAUAAGCUCCAUUUCAAGGCCCUAAGGUCAAGACCCCUGGCUGUUCUUGACCUGCAGCAGCCCUUAACCCUUAGCUCCUGCAUCUCCAGCCUGACCAUCCGCCAGCUGCUUUUGAGCAGCUUUGUUCAUCUGCUCUUCAUGCAUUCAGUAUUAAAGUGAGAUUUUAUAUUUAUGCUCAUAUCAAAACACUAGAAAUGAUUCACUAUUUUUUUAUUCGGGGUGAAAAAUCUUCAAGGCUCCUUCUUUCAGUAUACAACUUUAUAUUAUCGUGCAGCAUAACUGCAGUAGCACAGUUUGUUCAUUGUCUGAUGGCUGAGUCCUCAAAGGCAUGUAUGUUACAUGGUUAGUAAUCACAUUUAUUUUUCAUAAAAAUAGUAGAUAAAGGAGCAUAGAUUUUAAUGACUAUGUAAACUCAUCUUUUAUCAGAAACAUGGAAGGGAUGUGAUGCUAUUUUAAAGUAGUAUACAUUUUUUUGACAUUUUAAGAUUUCUUUGUUGUCUUAAGGCUACUUAAAUGAUUUCUUAUUAUUUGCAACUUUUGCUAAUAAAAUGUUACAAAGCU
Long non-coding RNA from Pan troglodytes (chimpanzee), 2073 nucleotides. RefSeq lists it as uncharacterized. The transcript is spliced from 3 exons. Lineage: Eukaryota; Metazoa; Chordata; Mammalia; Primates; Hominidae. The record is from RefSeq and is a predicted model, not a curated record.